This 305-nucleotide unclassified non-coding RNA is filed under the name plant metagenome. RNAcentral's name for it is "partial contains 5.8S ribosomal RNA, internal transcribed spacer 2, and large subunit ribosomal RNA". The stretch from base 1 to 105 matches the Rfam family "5.8S ribosomal RNA", at positions 50 to 154 of the family's 154-position model. The record is from RNAcentral.
GAAAUGCGAUAAGUAAUGUGAAUUGCAGAAUUCAGUGAAUCAUCGAAUCUUUGAACGCACAUUGCGCCCGCCAGUAUUCUGGCGGGCAUGCCUGUUCGAGCGUCAUUUCAACCAUCAGGCCCCCGGCUUGUGUUGGGGACCUGCGGCUGCCCGCAGGCCCUGAAAAACAGUGGCGGGCUCGCUGUCACACCGAGCGUAGUAGCAUACAUUCUCGCUCAGGGCGUGCUGCGGGUUCCGGCCGUUAAACGACCUUCAUAACCCAAGGUUGACCUCGGAUCAGGUAGGAAGACCCGCUGAACUUAAGC